This 253-nucleotide ribosomal RNA is filed under the name uncultured bacterium. RNAcentral's name for it is "partial 16S ribosomal RNA". It matches the Rfam family "Bacterial small subunit ribosomal RNA", at positions 524 to 776 of the family's 1533-position model. The record is from RNAcentral.
UACAGAGGGUGCGAGCGUUAAUCGGAAUUACUGGGCGUAAAGCGCACGUAGUCGGCUUUGCAAGUCGGGUGUGAAAUCCCCGGGCUCAACCUGGGAACUGCAUCCGAGACUGCAUUGCUAGAGUAUGGGAGAGGGAAGCGGAAUUUCUGGUGUAGCAGUGAAAUGCGUAGAUAUGACAUAGAACACCAAUUGCGAAGGCAGCUCGCUGGGACGUUACUGACGCUGAGACGCGAAAGCGUGGGGAGCAAACAGG